UGAAUAGGUUUUCCCAAACUCUGGUGGCCACAGGGGCCGCCGGAGCCCAGCAGUGAGGAGAGAGGGUGUUUAUUGUGUAUCCAAUGGCAGCCCCUUCCUUCAGCCAACUUAAGGAGCAGAGAGGUCUCUCCUCUCUCUCUUAGCAAUGGUUUUGACGUUUUAGUUCCUUUCAACCGCGAAGCAAACUGUAUCUGAAACCAGAUGAGCAGGAAGAAAGUGACGACAAGCAAGGCUUAAUUUUAAUGCAGAGCUCUUUUCUUCCCAAUGCAGAAGUCUUAUUAAAGAAACAGCAGGAUGCUGACAGGAAACUGUUUCAUGGCGUGCCAAGCAGUGCUAUGUCCGCACCGGGAUUGGAACUGGCGAACCCCAGGACGCUGAAGUGGAACAUGUGAACUUAACCACUGCACCACCGGGCCGGUCCUGAGAAAGGAUACAACUUUUAAAAUGAGGACUCAAAUGAGAAACCAAAAAACUAUUUGGGGACCAGGGUUGGAAGUGAAUUAACUGUCAACAGAGUUUUUUAAAUUGCCUUAGGGGUAAAUUAAGCCUCCUGCUUUUCUGUCAGAAAUGAGUACUUACUAAAAGGAGGCAGCAUAGUUCACAUCUUGGCAUUUUUAUCCAGAAAAUAGGAUAAAUAGUAUUAUACAUUGACACUCUAUGUUUGUUUGCUUGCUUUUUUUUAAAGGCACUUUAUAGUGUAACUAUGAAUACCUGCAAAAUCAACUGAGGGGUCAGGUCUAUGCAGACAGAGCAGACUGAGUCAUUUAGACCAGAGCAAAAAUACAUGUGAUGGAUAAAACACAGUAAUUAAGGGGGAAAGCAGAUUUGUUGACUAGAUAAUCAUCUCAGCUCCCAGGGGGAUUGCCCUCCCUCCGUUUCCCUUGGCACCUCUCUUCCCCCAGACCACCUUCAAAACUCUGCUUUGAACGGUGUCUCCUACAAGAAGCCCUCCCUGGUUAAGUGACCUGAGCCUUUUAUUCUGCUUCUCAUUGCCACAAGAAGUGUAUCUGUAUUUUGCAUUUGGUCCUUAGUAGCUUGUUUUAUAUCUUUAUUAAAGUGUUCUUAUGCCUCUGUGUCUUUAUUUCAUCUAUCGUCUCAUAGAGAGAUUCUUUAGGGACCCCACUGUGCUUUCCAUUUGCUGGGCAUUUCCCAGCUGACAGAGUAGAGUGCUCGCUGACAG
This 1180-nucleotide long non-coding RNA is filed under the name Equus caballus (horse). Its description in RNAcentral is "lncRNA (ENSECAG00000052969.1)". The record is from RNAcentral. Lineage: Eukaryota; Metazoa; Chordata; Mammalia; Perissodactyla; Equidae.